RNAcentral lists this ribosomal RNA (253 nucleotides) under uncultured bacterium. Its description in RNAcentral is "partial 16S ribosomal RNA". It matches the Rfam family "Bacterial small subunit ribosomal RNA", at positions 524 to 776 of the family's 1533-position model. The record is from RNAcentral.
UACGGGGGGGGUAAGCGUUGUUCGGAAUUACUGGGCGUAAAGGGCUCGUAGGCGGCCAACUAAGUCAUACGUGAAAUCCCUCAGCUUAACUGGGGAACUGCGUGUGAUACUGGAUGGCUUGGAUUUGGGAGAGGGAUGCGGAAUUCCAGGUGUAGCGGUGAAAUGCGUAGAUAUCAGGAGGAACACCGGUGGCGAAGGCGGAUCUCUGGACCAGUUCUGACACUGAUGAGCGAAAGCCAGGGGAGCAAACAGG